AUACGUAGGGGACGAGCGUUGUCCGGAAUUACUGGGCGUAAAGGGCGCGCAGGCGGAUAUUUAAGUCAGCUGUAAAAGGCAUGAGCUCAACUCAUGUAUGCGGUUGAAACUGGGUAUCUAGAGUGCUGGAGAGGUAGGCGGAAUUCCCGGUGUAGCGGUGAGAUGCGUAGAUAUCGGGAAGAACACCAGUGGCGAAGGCGGUUUGCUGGCUGCAUACUGACGCUGAAGCGCGAAAGCCAGGGGAGCAAACGGGAUUAGAUACCCCGGUAGUCCUGGCAGUAAACGAUGUAUGCUGGGUGUGAGACUAGCGAUAGUUUCGUGCCGAAGUUAACGCGAUAAGCAUACCGCCUGGGGAGUACGGUCGCAAGAUUGAAACUUAAAGGAAUUGGCGGGG
This 394-nucleotide ribosomal RNA is filed under the name uncultured bacterium. Its description in RNAcentral is "partial 16S ribosomal RNA". It matches the Rfam family "Bacterial small subunit ribosomal RNA", at positions 523 to 918 of the family's 1533-position model. The record is from RNAcentral.